RNAcentral lists this ribosomal RNA (919 nucleotides) under uncultured bacterium. RNAcentral's name for it is "bacterial SSU rRNA". It matches the Rfam family "Bacterial small subunit ribosomal RNA", at positions 8 to 916 of the family's 1533-position model. The record is from RNAcentral.
AGAGUUUGAUCCUGGCUCAGAACGAACGCUGGCGGCGUGCUUAACACAUGCAAGUCGAACGCGAAAUUUUUCUUCGGAGAAAGAGUAGAGUGGCGCACGGGUGAGUAACGCGUAAGUUAUCUACCUCGGCAUCUGGAAUAACUCACCGAAAGGUGUGCUAAUACCGGAUACGUUGAGUAAUCAAGAAAGGUGGCCUCUGAAUAUGCUACUGUGCUGAGAUGAGCUUGCGUACCAUUAGCUAGUUGGUAGGGUAAUGGCCUACCAAGGCGACGAUGGUUAGCGGGUCUGAGAGGAUGAUCCGCCACACUGGAACUGGAACACGGACCAGACUCCUACGGGAGGCAGCAGUGAGGAAUAUUGCGCAAUGGGGGAAACCCUGACGCAGCGACGCCGCGUGGAUGAUGAAGGCCUUCGGGUCGUAAAAUCCUGUCAGAUGGAAAGAAGUGUGUGUAUGCUAAUACCAUAUAUACUUGACGGUACCAUCGAAGGAAGCACCGGCUAACUCCGUGCCAGCAGCCGCGGUAAUACGGAGGGUGCAAGCGUUGUUCGGAAUUACUGGGCGUAAAGCGCGCGUAGGCGGUUUUAUAAGUCAGAUGUGAAAGCCCAUGGCUCAACCAUGGACGUGCAUUUGAAACUGUGAGACUUGAGUAUUGGAGGGGGUGGUGGAAUUCCCGGUGUAGAGGUGAAAUUCGUAGAUAUCGGGAGGAAUACCAGUGGCGAAGGCGACCACCUGGCCAAAUACUGACGCUAAGGUGCGAAAGCGUGGGGAGCAAACAGGAUUAGAUACCCUGGUAGUCCACGCCGUAAACGAUGUCAACUAGGUGUUGGGACGGUUAAUCGUCUCAUUGCCGCAGCUAACGCAUUAAGUUGACCGCCUGGGUAGUACGGUCGCAAGAUUAAAACUCAAAGGAAUUGACGG